CAAACUGGCGUUGUGAGGGGGGGUCUUCAAAACAGACGGAGAGGGAGCGAACAAUGAUGAAUGUGAAGGAGAGGCUGAGAAAAUAAAGGGAGGAGAAGACGAAGGGAGGGGAUGGGUUAUUUCUGAGCUCAGGGCCGGGGAUUAAGCGGUCGAGAGCAAUCCCAAUACGAUGACAGCAUCCAGCCUAAACCCCCACGCGCCACACCGUCCGGACACGGAUUCUACCGAUUCUGACAAACUAUUCUGUCUGCUCUCUCUCUUCAAUCACUUAAUUUGACCCUCCCGAUCCACAACCCCGUUCCGUCUUUUUCUUUAGAACACGAGGCGACUACCAGGAUUACAAAUUCUUCUUGGUCCUGAUGAUCACAAGGGCCCUCUUCCACCUCUUGUCGGCCAAUCCCGAUGGGGCUCCGGAGCUGAUGUCACAGAUGGCCCGAGGAUUUUCAUGUUCGGGAAUCCAGAAGAUACAAGCAAUACCACGUUAAAUGGAGGAGAAAGAGAGGAGUAGGAGUCGGUCUCUGUCUCGUAGCCGUAGGGCCACCCGGGUGCAGCAGGUGGUGGGGACAUUGAUCAGACGCACCCGCGAAUCACUCAGCAGAGAGCGGAUCCUUGGGGAUGGGAGGUCCAACCGGUCUGGCAGCGUGACCAGUCAGAACUUCCCGGUGAGGCUAACGGUUCAGAUCGUCAGAGACCCGGUGUUGGACUCCAGCGGUCAUGGGUUCUCCCUCUCCAAACAGCACCCUCUGCUGGUCAGGGACGUGGCUACAGGUACGCCAUGCGCGUGUGUC
Molecule: non-coding RNA, 788 nt
Organism: Salvelinus sp. IW2-2015
Lineage: Eukaryota; Metazoa; Chordata; Actinopteri; Salmoniformes; Salmonidae
Source: RefSeq, a predicted model, not a curated record